RNAcentral lists this ribosomal RNA (253 nucleotides) under uncultured bacterium. RNAcentral describes it as "partial 16S ribosomal RNA". It matches the Rfam family "Bacterial small subunit ribosomal RNA", at positions 524 to 776 of the family's 1533-position model. The record is from RNAcentral.
AACGUAGGACGCAAGCGUUAUCCGGAGUUACUGGGCGUAAAGCGCGGGCAGGCGGUCUUGCCAGUCUGAUGUGGAAUCUCUCAGCUCAACUGGGAGCAGCCAUUGGAAACUACAAGACUGGAGUCUGACAGAGGUAGGCGGAAUUCCGGGUGGAGUGGUGAAAUGCGUAGAGAUCCGGAGGAACACCAGAGGCGAAGGCGGCCUACUGGGUCAGUACUGACGCUGAGCCGCGAAAGCGUGGGGAGCAAACAGG